AGCAGUCGCCACGGGAAGACAGAGGAUGCAAGCGUUAUCCGGAAUGAUUGGGCGUAAAGCGUCUGUAGGUGGCUUUUCAAGUCCGCCGUCAAAUCCCAGGGCUCAACCCUGGACAGGCGGUGGAAACUACCAAGCUGGAGUACGGUAGGGGCAGAGGGAAUUUCCGGUGGAGCGGCGAAAUGCGUUGAGAUCGGAAAGAACACCAACGGCGAAAGCACUUUGCUGGGCCGACACUGACACUGAGAGACGAAAGCUAGGGGAGCAAAUGGGAUUAGAUACCCGCGUAGUCCCUGUCUCUUAUAC
RNAcentral lists this ribosomal RNA (303 nucleotides) under uncultured bacterium. RNAcentral's name for it is "partial 16S ribosomal RNA". It matches the Rfam family "Bacterial small subunit ribosomal RNA", at positions 507 to 807 of the family's 1533-position model. The record is from RNAcentral.